UCCUGGCUUAGGAUGAACGCUGGCGGCGUGCCUAACACAUGCAAGUCGAACGAAGCACUGUCGAUGGAGAUUCGUCAAAAUUGACUUUGACUUAGUGGCGGACGGGUGAGUAAUGCGUGAGCAACCUGCCUUUCAGAGGGGGACAACAGUUGGAAACGACUGCUAAUACCGCAUAAUGUAUUUAGGAGGCAUCUCCCGGAUACCAAAGGAGCAAUCCGCUGAAAGAUGGGCUCACGUCUGAUUAGCUAGUUGGUGAGGUAACGGCUCACCAAGGCUGCGAUCAGUAGCCGGACUGAGAGGUUGAACGGCCACAUUGGGACUGAGAUACAGCCCAGACUCCUACGGGAGGCAGCAGGUGGGGAAUAUUGGGCAAUGGGCGAAAGCCUCGACCCAGCAACGCCGCGUGAAGGAAGAAGGUCUUCGGAUUGUAAACUUCUUUUAUGAGGGACGAAGGACGUGACGGUACCUCAUGAAUAAGCCACGGCUAACUACGUGCCAGCCGCCGC
Molecule: ribosomal RNA, 506 nt
Filed under: uncultured bacterium
Lineage: Bacteria
Description: bacterial SSU rRNA
Rfam family: Bacterial small subunit ribosomal RNA
Source: RNAcentral